This 495-nucleotide ribosomal RNA is filed under the name uncultured bacterium. Its description in RNAcentral is "partial 16S ribosomal RNA". It matches the Rfam family "Bacterial small subunit ribosomal RNA", at positions 28 to 507 of the family's 1533-position model. The record is from RNAcentral.
GACGAACGCUGGCGGCGUGCCUAAUACAUGCAAGUAGAACGCUGAAGGAGGAGCUUGCUUCUCUGGAUGAGUUGCGAACGGGUGAGUAACGCGUAGGUAACCUGCCUGGUAGCGGGGGAUAACUAUUGGAAACGAUAGCUAAUACCGCAUAAGAGUAGAUGUUGCAUGACAUUUGCUUAAAAGGUGCAAUUGCAUCACUACCAGAUGGACCUGCGUUGUAUUAGCUAGUUGGUGGGGUAACGGCUCACCAAGGCGACGAUACAUAGCCGACCUGGGAGGGGGGUCGGCCAAACUGGGACGGGGGAAAGGCCCAAGACCCUUAGGGGAGCAGCCGGAGGGGAUCUUCGGGAAAGGACGGAAGGCUGGACGAGCAAAGCCGGGGGGAGGGAGAAGGUUUUCGGGUCGGAAAGCUCUGUUGUAAGGGAAGGAAGAGUGUGGGAGUGGAAAGUUCACACUGUGACGGUAUCUUACCAGAAAGGGACGGCUAACUACGUG